RNAcentral lists this ribosomal RNA (252 nucleotides) under uncultured bacterium. RNAcentral describes it as "partial 16S ribosomal RNA". It matches the Rfam family "Bacterial small subunit ribosomal RNA", at positions 524 to 775 of the family's 1533-position model. The record is from RNAcentral.
UACGAAGGGGGCUAGCGUUGUUCGGAAUCACUGGGCGUAAAGGGUGCGCAGGCGGAUUUUUAAGUCAGGGGUGAAAUCACGAGGCUCAACCGCGGAACUGCCUUUGAUACUGGGGAUCUUGAAUCAGGAAGAGGUGAGUGGAACUGCGAGUGUAGAGGUGAAAUUCGUAGAUAUUCGAAAGAACACCGGUGGCGAAGGCGGCUCACUGGUCCGGAACUGACGCUGAGGCACGAAAGCGUGGGGAGCAAACAG